UACGUAGGGUGCGAGCGUUGUCCGGAAUUAUGGCGUAAAGGGCUCGUAGGCGGUCUGUCGCGUCGGGAGUGAAAACCUCAGGGCUUGAACCCUGAGCCUGCUUCCGAUACGGGCAGACUAGAGGUAUGCAGGGGGAGACGUGGAAUUCCUGGUGUAGCGGUGAAAUGCGCAGAUAUCAGGAGGAACACCGGUGGCGAAAGCGACUCUCUGGACGGCAACUGACGCUGAGGCACGAAAGCGUGGGGAGCAAACAGG
RNAcentral lists this ribosomal RNA (255 nucleotides) under uncultured bacterium. RNAcentral describes it as "partial 16S ribosomal RNA". It matches the Rfam family "Bacterial small subunit ribosomal RNA", at positions 524 to 776 of the family's 1533-position model. The record is from RNAcentral.